Lemur catta (Ring-tailed lemur) is the source of this 381-nucleotide long non-coding RNA. RefSeq lists it as uncharacterized. Lineage: Eukaryota; Metazoa; Chordata; Mammalia; Primates; Lemuridae. The record is from RefSeq and is a predicted model, not a curated record. The transcript is spliced from 2 exons.
AUUUAUGUCUUGAUCUAUGCAUCCUGCAUUUCUGUGCGGGUCAUCAUACGUGGUGAACACCAGACUUGUGCAGUCCUGUCUCCUGCCAGCCCCUUGCAGUUGGAGCUGGCCAAGAACCGUCUCCAGAGUCAUUGCCUCCUAGUACCUCCUCUGGGGGAAAUGCUGAUGGCAGGAGGAGCACGUUUCUCCGGGGUGUAGAGUUAGAGACGGAGACAGAGGCAGAGACGUAAACCAGGCCACAGCGACGGUGAACUGCCACACCUCAGCGAUAGGUGCUGUUCUGCCUCAGAUAUCUGAAGUAAUUGAACAAAAAAAGCUCCAACCAUCUCAAAAGGAAUUGAUUUCCAAUAAAAUUUUACUUUUUGUGUUUUAAAUUAUUUA